GAAUUUUGGACAAUGGGCGAAAGCCCGUUCCAGCAAUGCCGCGUGCAGGAUGAAGGCCUUCGGGUUGUAAACUGCUUUUGUACGGAACGAAAAGCUUUGGGUUAAUACACGGGAGUCAUGUAGGUACCGCAAGAAGAAGCACGGGCUAACUACGUGCCAGCAGGCGCGGUAAUACGUAGGGUGCAAGCGGUAAUCGGAAUUACGGGGCGUAAAGCGUGCGCAGGCGGUUUUGUAAGACAGAGGUGAAAUCCCCGGGCUCAACCUGGGAACUGCCUUUGUGACUGCAAGGCUAGAGUACGGCAGAGGGGGGUGGAAUUCCGCGUGUAGCAGUGAAAUGCGUAGAUAUGCGGAGGAACACCGAUGGCGAAGGCAACCCCCUGGGCCUGUACUGACGCUCAUGCACGAAAGCGUGGGGAGCAAACA
This 423-nucleotide ribosomal RNA is filed under the name uncultured bacterium. Its description in RNAcentral is "partial 16S ribosomal RNA". It matches the Rfam family "Bacterial small subunit ribosomal RNA", at positions 359 to 774 of the family's 1533-position model. The record is from RNAcentral.